This 332-nucleotide ribosomal RNA is filed under the name Marinobacter sp. NB-6. RNAcentral's name for it is "bacterial SSU rRNA". It matches the Rfam family "Bacterial small subunit ribosomal RNA", at positions 354 to 678 of the family's 1533-position model. The record is from RNAcentral. Lineage: Bacteria; Pseudomonadati; Pseudomonadota; Gammaproteobacteria; Pseudomonadales; Marinobacteraceae.
GUGGGGAAUAUUGGACAAUGGGGGAAACCCUGAUCCAGCCAUGCCGCGUGUGUGAAGAAGGCUUUCGGGUUGUAAAGCACUUUCAGUGAGGAGGAAAAGUUAGUCCUUAAUACGGGCUAGCCUUGACGUUACUCACAGAAGAAGCACCGGCUAACUCCGUGCCAGCAGCCGCGGUAAUACGGAGGGUGCAAGCGUUAAUCGGAAUUACUGGGCGUAAAGCGCGCGUAGGUGGUUUGAUAAGCGAGAUGUGAAAGCCCCGGGCUUAACCUGGGAACGGCAUUUCGAACUGUCAGGCUAGAGUGUGGUAGAGGGUAGUGGAAUUUCCUGUGUAG